GACGAACGCUGGCGGCGUGCCUAAUACAUGCAAGUCGAGCGAACCAAUAAGAAGCUUGCUUUUUGUUGGUUAGCGGCGGACGGGUGAGUAACACGUGGGUAACCUGCCUGUAAGACCGGGAUAACUCCGGGAAACCGGUGCUAAUACCGGAUAGAUUAUCUUUCCGCAUGGAGAGAUAAGGAAAGAUGGCUAUUGCCAUCACUUACAGAUGGGCCCGCGGCGCAUUAGCUAGUUGGUGAGGUAACGGCUCACCAAGGCGACGAUGCGUAGCCGACCUGAGAGGGUGAUCGGCCACACUGGGACUGAGACACGGCCCAGACUCCUACGGGAGGCAGCAGUAGGGAAUCUUCCGCAAUGGACGAAAGUCUGACGGAGCAACGCCGCGUGAGCGAAGAAGGUCUUCGGAUCGUAAAGCUCUGUUGUUAGGGAAGAACAAGUAUCGGAGGAAAUGCCGGUACCUUGACGGUACCUGACGAGAAAGCCACGGCUAACUACGU
This 497-nucleotide ribosomal RNA is filed under the name uncultured bacterium. RNAcentral's name for it is "partial 16S ribosomal RNA". It matches the Rfam family "Bacterial small subunit ribosomal RNA", at positions 28 to 506 of the family's 1533-position model. The record is from RNAcentral.